GACGAACGCUGGCGGCGUGCCUAAUACAUGCAAGUCGAACGCUUCUUUCCUCCCGAGUGCUUGCACUCAAUUGGAAAGAGGAGUGGCGGACGGGUGAGUAACACGUGGGUAACCUACCCAUCAGAGGGGGAUAACACUUGGAAACAGGUGCUAAUACCGCAUAACAGUUUAUGCCGCAUGGCAUAAGAGUGAAAGGCGCUUUCGGGUGUCGCUGAUGGAUGGACCCGCGGUGCAUUAGCUAGUUGGUGAGGUAACGGCUCACCAAGGCCACGAUGCAUAGCCGACCUGAGAGGGUGAUCGGCCACACUGGGACUGAGACACGGCCCAGACUCCUACGGGAGGCAGCAGUAGGGAAUCUUCGGCAAUGGACGAAAGUCUGACCGAGCAACGCCGCGUGAGUGAAGAAGGUUUUCGGAUCGUAAAACUCUGUUGUUAGAGAAGAACAAGGACGUUAGUAACUGAACGUCCCCUGACGGUAUCUAACCAGAAAGCCGCGGCUAACUACGUG
Molecule: ribosomal RNA, 508 nt
Filed under: uncultured bacterium
Lineage: Bacteria
Description: partial 16S ribosomal RNA
Rfam family: Bacterial small subunit ribosomal RNA
Source: RNAcentral